Molecule: ribosomal RNA, 831 nt
Filed under: Chionoloma bombayense
Lineage: Eukaryota; Viridiplantae; Streptophyta; Bryopsida; Pottiales; Pottiaceae
Description: eukaryotic LSU rRNA
Rfam family: 5.8S ribosomal RNA (bases 376-528)
Source: RNAcentral
AGGAUCAUUGCACACACAAAGUUGCAGCAAACCCCCUUUGCGAAUUUCAUGAAUGUCCCCCUUGUGUUUUGGGGGGCCUGGGGCAUCGUUGUCACUACUACUACUACUACUACUACUACUACUUGUGGUGGUGGUGGUGGUGGUGGUGGUGGUGGUGUCCCGGCCUGCCAAACACAUCCAAGUCCCCCCAUACAAGGGAGGCUUGGGGCUCCUCCUCCCUAAACCGGGUAGGCGGCCCCUUGUCCUCCUGGGGGGACUUGGUAACCAACCGAUUGCGCAAUGCAUCAACACUUUCAAUAUGACUGAGUACCGAAAAUCGGGACACUGCCGCUUGCAAAGGCGCGAUGGUGUCCCCGAGUUGUGAUAAACAAAAACAACUCUCAGCAACGGAUAUCUUGGCUCUUGCAACGAUGAAGAACGCAGCGAAAUGCGAUACGUAGUGUGAAUUGCAGAAUUCCGCGAAUCAUCGAGUCUUUGAACGCAAGUUGCGCCCGAGGCUUGACCAAGGGCAUCUCUGCCAGAGCGUCACCGCGACACCCACCAAUCCACUCUAAGUGGAUUGAGUGAAACUGGCCAUCCGAAUGCGGCCACCCGGGGCUUCCUGGGUGGCAGAUUGGGUUGGCUGAAAUGGAGGGAAUUUGGCCGCCGUGCUGUCACAGCCCGCGAUCAGGUGAUCCAGGCCCCCCACUUGCAAAGGUGGUGGGUGUCCUGGAACUCAAAUGUGCGUUGGUUGUGCAGCCCAGUCAGGGAUUCCAAAGCAGGUCCCUCGCGACACUCGGCCCCUCCUAGUCACGCGCUAAGGGGGAACUGGGUGGAGAGCGAGGUAACGUC